Molecule: ribosomal RNA, 406 nt
Filed under: Nocardiopsis sp. SJKR0102
Lineage: Bacteria; Bacillati; Actinomycetota; Actinomycetes; Streptosporangiales; Nocardiopsidaceae
Description: bacterial SSU rRNA
Rfam family: Bacterial small subunit ribosomal RNA
Source: RNAcentral
GGGUACACGAGCGGCGAACGGGUGAGUAACACGUGAGCAACCUGCCCCUGACUCCGGGAUAAGCGGUGGAAACGCCGUCUAAUACCGGAUAUGACCUGCCACCUCAUGGUGGCGGGUGGAAAGUUUUGUCGGUCAGGGAUGGGCUCGCGGCCUAUCAGCUUGUUGGUGGGGUAACGGCCUACCAAGGCGAUUACGGGUAGCCGGCCUGAGAGGGCGACCGGCCACACUGGGACUGAGACACGGCCCAGACUCCUGCGGGAGGCAGCAGUGGGGAAUAUUGCACAAUGGGCGAAAGCCUGAUGCAGCGACGCCGCGUGGGGGAUGACGGCCUUCGGGUUGUAAACCUCUUUUACCACCAACGCAGGCUCCACGUUUUCGUGGGGUUGACGGUAGGUGGGGAAUAAGG